Molecule: long non-coding RNA, 5578 nt
Organism: Lagopus muta (rock ptarmigan)
Lineage: Eukaryota; Metazoa; Chordata; Aves; Galliformes; Phasianidae
Exons: 2
Source: RefSeq, a predicted model, not a curated record
CAAGGAUCUCAGGUUGUGGAUCCUUCAUUGGUAAAGCUUUCCUCUGCGAACCUGGCAUCUUCUGAUAUGACAAAGAAAACGAAUCCCACAAACCCUGGCAGACCUGCAAAGGUGAGAACUGUGAACAGGAGGAAGAAACAUAGUACAUCUCCACGGCCUGGAUCACACAGGACCCACAAGAAUUGGGCCCUCCUUGGAACUUUAUGAAGGUACAAAAGUAAGUAAAGUACUUUGCACUUUAUAAAGGUACAGCCUUUACAUUUUCUCUCUCUUCAAUAUUAACAGACAGAAUAUAUGUUAUCAAACAAGUUGACCACACAGAUAUGCCAAAAUGGUAAUGCCAUGACUUCUUAACUGUUAUGCACCCUCCUUUGACAUACAGUAUGGGCUCACUCUUCAGGGAGCUUUUUGCAAAGCAGACCUGUAAGAUCGAUGGGAGAAGACUGUUUUACUUCUCAUUCUUUGUAAUUUUGUUUACUUUCCAGGCUGAUUUUGCUUUUAUUCUUAUUGUUUAAGCUCUUAAAUUUAUGGCAAGCUGUAGCAAGAGCCAGCUGGCAGCAACCAAAGAGGCUGUGCAAGCUUUUCUCAUCUAUGGGCUAUUGUCCCACCAGCUGCAAGCCGACAGCUGGAGACCAGCAUGCAAGACUCUGAGGGGCACCUCACUGCUGUAGGAUAUCCCUGAGAGACCAUAGGUGACAUUCUGCUUCUUCAGGCCAUCUGGAAGCUAUGUGGAUGCUACAGGAUGCUCUUGGAGAAAAGACCAGACCCAGGGUAUGGUACACACAGCUAUUCAUUUCUUUGAUGACAGUCAAGGAGACUCAAGCACUGUUAAAUACACUUAACCAGCAUCACAGAAAAUGUGGGACACCUAUUCAGUGAUAGAGGUUAGUGGGAACUCUGAGUUAUCGCUGCUUUUUUAUACAGUCAGAACUUAUCGAAGGACUUUCAGAUAAAGGGAUUUUCAGAAUUCAGGGAAUAUGUGCCAAGCUUAAAUAAAGCACAAGUAGGUAAAUAAAUGGAAUGAUUAUUUUUCAAGCAAGGAGCUAGACCUACUAAACUUGAGAGCUAACUUCUGUGGCUUUGGUUCAAGACCAACUCUACUUCUGUGUCAGUUUUUAAACAACUGUUUGCUCUUGCAGUACUGCCUAUCAUCUGACCCUGCAGUGAUGAUACAGCACUGAAUUUUGACCUUCAGCUUCCCAAGCAAAAGUUGGUCUAAAGAGGAUGCCCAUGACUAAUUUUAGCCAAAAGCUUCCCACGCUAGAUAUCCUUUAUUUUCACUUCUCUGUGUAUGUAUCUAUAUAUGUGUGUGUAUGUAUGUAUAUAUAUAUAUAUGUAUAUAUAUAUAUGUAUAUGUAUAUAUACAUACAUACACACACACACUUUGCAUUACUGUGGAAAUCCCACCUCAAAGAAUGUGAGAGAUGCAUCCUUCAGCAUUUGUAAGUCUGCAGUGUAGCUCAGCUCAUGAACUCAAGCUUUCACACACAGGCUAGGAGUGAAUUGUGGUAGUGACCCCGAAGUCAAUAUCUCAUUGGAGCCUCACUGUGGGAGAAGGGCCAAAGAUUUGGUUUUCAUUCACAACCCACUCAUAUCUUUGUAUUGCCUGACUAAGCAAGCCAGCCUGCAAACAGUCAUUCUGGGGCCAGACAAGAUCCCAAGCAAUACCUGAAAAGAUUUCUGAACACUCAGGAAGAUAGUUUACAAAGUGCCCUUGGCACAGGAGCAAAAACUCAACAGUAUCAUCUUGUUUAAAAUUAACCUCUGGGCUGCGGUACCUACUUGGAUAGAGCAUACAAGAGUCUAAAGGUCCCCCUACUCCUUCCCCAUACCACCCCACCCCCAAAACAAGAAGAAAAGAAGAACCCAAAAGAAACUAUUUCAGGUAGCAAUACAAGACAUUAGGACUGUCCACAGCGAUGGGCUUACAACACAUAAAUAGAUUUAUUCUACAUAUAAGCAACAAAAAUAGCAAGAAACCCAAGCAACAGACAUGUUUUGCUCUGUGUACAUCCCAGAUUCCAACAUGUCUCAUGAGUGUCUGCAUUUCUGCCAAUGAUUUGGAAAAAAAGAGCCUCAGUCUCACAGAGAAGCAAAUCUUGACUCAAGACUUGUCUCACAACUUUCAGGAUUCAAUAGAACAGCUCUUAGGUCUUACACUGUUCAGCAUAUGCAAGGAUCAGCUAUUAAUAGAUUUAAAAAUGAAAAAAAAAAAAAAAAGACAAAAGAAACCCCAAACAACUUUUACCCCAUACGCUAACAGCCACCUUUACAAGAACACCACACAAGAAGAACUGAAGAAAAUCGGGUGAAAAGGACUGUCUCCAUAGCAUUUCUAACUCAGAAAUCAAAGAUUUUCCUUGAAGUCAGUAGGAAUUUUAUAUAUAUUUAUAUAAUAUAUAUAUUAUUCAUAUCACUAGCAAUCAGCAUGUACUUAACAAAGAGGUGGUAUGAAGGGCAGCAAAACUGAUACAGCAUGUGGUAGACAACUGAAAGGAUAAGCACUUUAAAAAGUAGCAAUAACUGGAGGAUAAGAAGCCUGCAGCCAUUUCCAAAAACAAAUGCGCUCACCUGACAUAAAAUGUUAGAAUCAUAGAACGGCUCAGGUUGGAAAAGAUCUUAAAGAUCACCAAGUCCAACCACAACCUAACCAAAUUACUCUAACCCUAACAACCCUCUGCUAAAUCAUGUCCCUGAGCAAACAUAGCAGCGAUGUUACAGUGAUCUCUAAGCAUUUGCUCUAUCUCCCAGACUAAGCCCAAGUGAUGGGACAGCCUUUUCCCAGACGGUGUUUCUCCAGUUAAUGGAGCAGUGUGGCCUUCCUCUCAGGGCGCUGCCCCACGAGAUGGCAGUGUGCCCACACCACACAGCCUCCCGUAGAACUUGACAUCACUGGCAGCCAGCUGGCCUUGCUGCCCACCCUCCUCUGUGAGGGACGCCACACGGUCUAUUCCCCUGCUGCACAGCAUCAACAGGCUCUGCCUCACAGACUGGAAGAAAUUCAAAAAAAGAGAAAGAAAAUAGCUUUUUUUGGAGUGGGAUCUCAUGUGAGCAGUGGUGGCAGUGAGGUGUGGAUCCAUGGAAGAAACAAAAGGCAGCUCACACAUUCCCUGCAAAGGCAGAUGGAGAAUUGGACAGAGAAACUGUCCCAUUUGUGACCGCAGCAAGUUUUUACCAGUCCGGAUGGAAGACGACCAGCUCCAUCUCCUGGUGAUGGUGAUGCCAUUGCCCCGCCAGGCAGUGAUAUCCUUCACUACCGUUCAUUAUGGAUCCUCCUAUGUCUCAGUAAAUCCUUUUUUACAGUGAAACAGCAGAAGGAUAAUGCCCUAAAUUCAAAAUACUUUAAGAAUAUUACUAAUCUAUUUUUCUUGAAGUUGAUAUUGAAAGAGUAGGUCAAAUAGCUCACACAGAAAGAAGUCUUGAAGUGAACCAGUUAACUCUGAGCCACUUCCUCACAAUGCCCAGUGACAAAGGUGCAUGCAUUUCACACCUAUCAAGAACUCAUAGCUAGGAGUACAAGCGAGCCUAGAUGAGAGCCUAAAAAAGACAGGCAAAAGAGGAAGGAGCUGAAAGAAAGUCAAGGUCAUGCACCUGCCCUAGGAAAGGAGUUCCACAGGAGGAAUGCAUGGGAAAGGUGAAGAAACACACAUCAGAUACAGCUACUUACACCUGAAGAUGGAACAGAAGGGAGGAAAGCUAAGACCUUCAGCUCUAAGGUGGAUAAAAAAAACGUAGGAAAAGGCAGAACUGUAAGCCCUGGUCAAAGCCUCAUGAAGUCAAAAGCAAGAUUCCCAUUAGCACUGCAGAGCACAGCAUAAGAAAAAAGAUGGUUAGUUGUGAAAAAAAUGCCCUCAGCAUCUCCCUGUUCUGGUAAAAACACAGAGGUUUACACGGGCAAGAUGUGUAACUUUGAACUGGUGAUGAAAGUUAAAUUUUAUGUCCUCAAGUCCCUGGAUUUGACUGGAAGUCUGAUUUGCAUACUGCUGGCUAACCACUGAGAAAAUGAGUGCUUUGUGAUCACUGCUCAGUGUGUAAAGAAAGUACCACUGGUGUCGGAGAGCUGAGAAAUUUAAAAAAACGUCCCAAGCCAGUAGAAAUGUCAAAUGGGAAAAAGGUCAGAUGAAAUUUUCCUUUAAUUUUGACCAAUGACAUUUUCAAAGUUACCUUUAAAGGCACAAUUUUGAAAGCCUUGGGUAAAGCACAUAAAAACAAAACAAAACAACAACAAAAGAACCCAAGUCUGAGGAAGAACAAUGAGUGGGAAUAUAUGCAUGGGUGGAAGUGGCUGUUGGUGCAUAAUAGCAAUAACCAGAGCCUGGUCUAAACCUGGGGUCUAAACCUGGAGCUGAUGAGACAGAAAAGAAAAAAAUCUUCGCAUCAAGAACAGCAGACAAACAGAACUGUAAGUUAAACCACUGCAAUCUUGUUGCUGUGUUGUAUUUAAAGGUCAAUCUUUUCACAGAGCAGAAAAUGAAAUAGGUUUGCAGUAACAACUGAUAGAAAUAAUAAAAAAAUUAGGUCCUUUUGUCAAAUUCCCAUUCCACCGGCUUGCAGCAGCCAAGAGGGGUGUAGCAGAGAACUAAAUGUACCCAACAGGCUAGCAGGGACCGCACCACACUGCCCAUGCAGAGGGGCUGCAGGCAAAAAGCUGCAAGGCAUGGGUUGACCACUUCACCACUCGAUACUUGCCAUGGCUUCCAGCUCAAGAGGAGAGUAAGAGAUGUGCUGAGUGAGCCUCAUGCAGUGGACACACAAAUCAGGUACUCAGCAUCAGUGCCUCCAUACCCUUGCACUUGUUCUUCUGAACCAGAGGGUCUGUGUAUUCGGCUUGGGAGACUGGAUGGGACUGGCCAAGCAGCACCAUUGCAGGCAUCUACAAACCAGAUUGUUUCUUGGAGUACUAGCAGACUAGGCAGAUGCCAAACAUCCCCACUAGGUUCAGAUUACUGUCUUCAGUGAAGCAUUACCAGUUUUUAUACCCUUUUUGCAUCAAGCAUUAUGCACAGCAAGGCUAACAUGGAAUGACCACCCCUUCUUUGCUAGGGGAGGUCUCUGGAGGGAUGACAGACAGAAGGGGAGAAUGGACAGCAUAUAGAGGAAAGCUUCUUAGAAGACCUUCAGGAAGGGGACAGUAGGUUCAAUAAAAAUGGGAACAACUUAUCCUGUUGCUGACAAAACUACAAAUAAAGUAAUGAUGAUAAUAAUAUUAAUAACUAUAAUCCUUGCACUAGAUACUAAUAAGUAAAUAAUUAUCAUAGCAAAUUCUCCUUUCUUUUUUCAGGCUUUUUUUGUUUGUUUUUCCCCCUAACCACUCUGAAUUGCUAUAUGGUGGGAUUGGAUAUGCAAAGUGGUAGAAAGGGUCUUGUUACACUUUGAAUUGAAAACUGACUCCUACCCUAUAGUCCCACUGUCUUACAGCCAUUUUCCACCAAAGCUCAGUGGGGGGCUCCUUUCGGGAAAAGAUGGGAAUGGUAUGUGUGUUCCUGCUUAGCACCCAGAGUACCUGCUUUCCAGAUGCAUGCCUCUUAAACACUGAUAUUUUUUUUGUUUGGUUUUUUUUUUUUUUUUUUUUUUUUUU